RNAcentral lists this ribosomal RNA (547 nucleotides) under uncultured bacterium. RNAcentral's name for it is "partial 16S ribosomal RNA". It matches the Rfam family "Bacterial small subunit ribosomal RNA", at positions 355 to 895 of the family's 1533-position model. The record is from RNAcentral.
UGGGGAAUUUUGGACAAUGGGGGAAACCCUGAUCCAGCCAUCCCGCGUGUGCGAUGAAGGCCUUCGGGUUGUAAAGCACUUUUGGCAGGAAAGAAACGUCGCGGGUUAAUACCCCGCGGAACUGACGGUACCUGCAGAAUAAGCACCGGCUAACUACGUGCCAGCAGCCGCGGUAAUACGUAGGGUGCAAGCGUUAAUCGGAAUUACUGGGCGUAAAGCGUGCGCAGGCGGUUCGGAAAGAAAGAUGUGAAAUCCCAGAGCUUAACUUUGGAACUGCAUUUUUAACUACCGGGCUAGAGUGUGUCAGAGGGAGGUGGAAUUCCGCGUGUAGCAGUGAAAUGCGUAGAUAUGCGGAGGAACACCGAUGGCGAAGGCAGCCUCCUGGGAUAACACUGACGCUCAUGCGCGAAAGCGUGGGGAGCAAACAGGAUUAGAUACCCUGGUAGUCCACGCCCUAAACGAUGUCAACUAGCUGUUGGGGUCUUCGGACCUUGGUAGCGCAGCUAACGCGUGAAGUUGACCGCCUGGGGAGUACGGUCGCAAGAUU